RNAcentral lists this ribosomal RNA (253 nucleotides) under uncultured bacterium. Its description in RNAcentral is "partial 16S ribosomal RNA". It matches the Rfam family "Bacterial small subunit ribosomal RNA", at positions 524 to 776 of the family's 1533-position model. The record is from RNAcentral.
GACGGAAGGUGCAAGCGUUGCUCGGAAUCACUGGGCGUAAAGGGUGCGUAGGCGGCCGUGCAAGUCUGGCGUGAAAGCCCCGGGCUCAGCCCGGGAAGUGCGCUCGAAACUGCGCGGCUCGAGUGCCGGAGGGGAGAGUGGAAUUCCUGGUGUAGCGGCGAAAUGCGCAGAUAUCAGGAAGAAUAUCCGUGGCGAAGGCGGCUCUCUGGUACGGCACUGACGCUGAGACGCGAAAGCGUGGGGAGCAAACAGG